ACACUGAAAAAAAUGGACUUGGUGGGUCUUUGAAUUUAAAUAAAAUAAACAUGUAUAUGCAACACAAAAUAUUUAUAUUCCUUGUGUAAACAUAAUUUAAUUGAUUAGGAUGAAAAUGUUUUGUUUGAAUGUAAAAUGAACACAUUAUUCUCACAUUGAUUAAAAUUGAUUGAAUUGAAUACUUAAAGCAAUAAAAUUGAGUUUGCACACAAAAUGGCACCUCCUGAGCAGAAGGUGGCAGUAACGCUCAAUAAAAAGGACGUCAAUCGCCAUAAAAGAAGAAUAAACAUCGUUUGUUUUGGGCGCCAAAAUGAAGACUCAGCAGCAGUCAGUCAGAAGAACUCUCUCAGACGGACACCACGUUAUUAAAGUCCAUCAUCCUUGCAUGUGCUAAAAAGCAUUGAUAAAUGCUGAAUUUAAAAGAAUCACUACUGUCUUAUGUUCCUGCGUGUCACCUGGACCUCCAAUCCAAAAACCUGACGAAACUCUUCUAUCAGAAAGGAGGACAGCUAGCAAACAGACUUCAAACAAUGAAUGAUCAAAUGACAGAAGGCAUGGAUGAAGUCAGCAUCAGUGUGGUCAUUUGAAGACACCACUGUUGGGAUUUGUGCUCUCAAACAACAUGCUUCUUGUGAUGAAGAAGAGGAUCUUUGUAUAGUCCUGGAAGGCAUGAAGGUGUUGCAACAUCGUGCCAUGUUGUUUGAGCUGAUGUAUGCCUUAAACCUGAGCUAUCCUGAUCUCUGCUUUAUUUUUGAAGAAAUCCUAAAGAUUUUAAUGGAACUGCAUUGAGCGUAACUUUAACGAACAGUUUCUUUCAGUGAAAGGAUCAGAAAGACUGUGCUGCUCAUUUAUGUUCUUUUUAUUUAUCUGUUUUAAGUGUUUUUUCUUAUUAAAACAUUAACUGUUUGCUGCUCAGAGUCGAUUUUGGAAAUGGUUGUUGUAUUUUGUUUUUGUUGAAUCUUUGAUUAACAGUUUAUACAAAUGCUGUAGCUCUGACUUUCUGAAGGAUUGAUAUUUUUCAGUUGUAAAUCCAUUUUAAAAAAUAAUAGUACUUACUGUUUUGCAUGUCUCUUUGGAAUGCAGUUUUUGUGCUUUAGCACUUCUAAAUCUACUGUGAUAGUAACUAUUUUAAACAUUUGGGUCAGUUUUACAGAUGGGGCUUUUUCUAGUCCCAGACUUUUGCAAUGCCUUAAUUUGAAAACAUAUUGCACUGACAUAUCUUGACAUAUAUCAGUGCCAUUGUUUUGUCUCAAGAUGUACUCCAGUGUUGUUUUUGUAAGGUAGGUUUGUUUGUAAACUUUUUUUGUAAAAAAUAUCUUAAUAUAACUAGGGCCUAGUCAUGGAUUAUCUACAACCUGUUUGGGAAAUUGCCCCUUUGUAUGUACUGCAUGUGCUGAUUGUUGUAAUAGUUAUUGACUGUUGUUGAAUUAAUGUGUAGUGAUUUAAAUGAAUUGAUGAUCUGAAAGCAGUGGUUUGCCUCAAUAUCACUAAACAUUUGUUUAAAACUCUUUGCU
This is a non-coding RNA of Paramisgurnus dabryanus, 1514 nucleotides long. Lineage: Eukaryota; Metazoa; Chordata; Actinopteri; Cypriniformes; Cobitidae. The record is from RefSeq and is a predicted model, not a curated record.